UAUGUUCUUGAAAUUUAAAGAUUUUGGCGGUAUUUUAGUCUUUUCAGAGGAAUCUGUUCUGUAAUUGAUAAACCACGAUUAAUAAUACUUAAUUUAGUAAUUUAUAUAUCAUCGUAGUUUGAAUAUUUUAAAAGAAUAAAAUAUUCAUAAUUUUAUAUUUAAAAAUAAAUCAGAUCAAGGUAUAGUUUAUAAUUAAGAAGAAAUGGAUUACAAUAAAUUUAUUUAUAGAUUUAAUUUUUCAAAAUUUAAUGAAAUUGGAUUUGAAUGUAAUUUUUUUUUAUAAUUUAAAAAUGAUUUAGCUCUAAAAUAUGU
Molecule: ribosomal RNA, 312 nt
Filed under: Sericoderus lateralis
Lineage: Eukaryota; Metazoa; Arthropoda; Insecta; Coleoptera; Corylophidae
Description: partial 12S ribosomal RNA
Source: RNAcentral